RNAcentral lists this long non-coding RNA (278 nucleotides) under Salvia miltiorrhiza (redroot sage). RNAcentral describes it as "long non-coding RNA (SMIL_LNC012547)". Lineage: Eukaryota; Viridiplantae; Streptophyta; Magnoliopsida; Lamiales; Lamiaceae. The record is from RNAcentral.
GGAAUAAUGCGUCCGGCCGGAACAGUUUAUUUCUGAAAUGUACCCGGCCGGAUUCAUUUUAUCGGACACUUCACCGGCCGGAUAGUUUCUCUUUAGGCAUAAAAUACUUUAUUAAAUCUAUCUGUAUGUUUACGUUAAUUAUUACUAUUUUACUGAAUUUAAUUUAAUUAUAAUUGUUUAAUUAUUAAUUAUUGAAACUGUUAUUGCUUGGUAUUAAUUAAAUUGCAGUUUUUUAAUAUAUUACUGAAUUUAAUUAAAUUGCUUGGUAUUAAUUGCAG